AGUGAACGCUGGCGGUAGGCCUAACACAUGCAAGUCGAACGGCAGCACAGUAAGAGCUUGCUCUUACGGGUGGCGAGUGGCGGACGGGUGAGGAAUACAUCGGAAUCUACUUUUUCGUGGGGGAUAACGUAGGGAAACUUACGCUAAUACCGCAUACGACCUACGGGUGAAAGCAGGGGAUCUUCGGACCUUGCGCGGUUGAAUGAGCCGCUGUCGGAUUAGCUAGUUGGCGGGGUAAAGGCCCACCAAGGCGACGAUACGUAGCUGGGCUGAGAGGAUGGUCCGCCACACUGGAGCUGACACGCGGUCCAGACUCCUACGGGAGGCAGCAGUGGGUAAUAUUGGACAAUGGGCGCAAGCCUGAUCCAGCCACACCGCGUGGGUGAAGAAGGCCUUCGGGUUGUAUAGCCCUUUUGUUGGGAAAGAAAAGCAUCAGGUUAAUACCCCGCUGUUCUGACGGUACCCAAAGAAUAAGCACCGGCUAACUUCGU
RNAcentral lists this ribosomal RNA (491 nucleotides) under uncultured bacterium. Its description in RNAcentral is "partial 16S ribosomal RNA". It matches the Rfam family "Bacterial small subunit ribosomal RNA", at positions 29 to 506 of the family's 1533-position model. The record is from RNAcentral.